CCUACGGGGGGCUGCAGUUAGGAAUAUUCGUCAAUGGGGGAAACCCUGAACGAGCAAUGCCGCGGGAGUGAUGAAGGUCCUUUGGAUUGUAAAACUCUGUUGUAUGGAAAAAAUGGUUAAGUUAGGAAAUGAACUUAAUGUGAUGGUACCAUACCAGAAAGCCCCGGCUAACUACGUGCCAGCAGCCGCGGUAAUACGUAGGGGGCGAGCGUUAUCCGGAUUUAUUGGGCGUAAAGCGUGUGUAGGCGGUUUGUUAAGUUUAAGAUUAAAGCCCGGAGCUCAACUCCGGUGCGUCUUAAAAACUGGUAGACUUGAGUACGGUAGAGGCAAACGGAAUUUCUAGUGUAGCGGUGAAAUGCGUAGAUAUUAGAAGGAACACCAGUGGCGAAAGCGGUGUGCUGGGCCGUUACUGACGCUGAGGCACGAAAGCGUGGGGAGCAAAUAGGAUUAGAUACCCCGGUAGUC
RNAcentral lists this ribosomal RNA (465 nucleotides) under uncultured bacterium. RNAcentral's name for it is "bacterial SSU rRNA". It matches the Rfam family "Bacterial small subunit ribosomal RNA", at positions 338 to 795 of the family's 1533-position model. The record is from RNAcentral.